RNAcentral lists this ribosomal RNA (443 nucleotides) under uncultured bacterium. RNAcentral's name for it is "partial 16S ribosomal RNA". It matches the Rfam family "Bacterial small subunit ribosomal RNA", at positions 338 to 795 of the family's 1533-position model. The record is from RNAcentral.
CCUACGGGAGGCAGCAGUGGGGAAUAUUGGGCAAUGGGCGCAAGCCUGACCCAGCAACGCCGCGUGAAGGAAGAAGGCUUUCGGGUUGUAAACUUCUUUUGUCAGGGACGAAGCCAGUGACGGUACCUGACGAAUAAGCCACGGCUAACUACGUGCCAGCAGCCGCGGUAAUACGUAGGUGGCACGCGUUAUCCGGAUUUACUGGGUGUAAAGGGCGUGUAGGCGGGACGGCAAGUAGGAUGUGAAAACCACGGGCUCAACCUGUGGCCUGCAUUUGAAACUGGAGUUCUUGAGUACUGGAGAGGCAGACGGAAUUCCUAGUGUAGCGGUGAAAUGCGUAGAUAUUAGGAGGAACACCAGUGGCGAAGGCGGUCUGCUGGACAGCAACUGACGCUGAGGCGCGAAAGCGUGGGGAGCAAACAGGAUUAGAUACCCGGGUAGUC